UACGUAGGGUGCAGGCGUUAAUCGGAAUUACUGGGCGUAAAGCGUGCGCAGGCGGUUCGUUAAGUUCGAUGUGAAAGCCCCGGGCUCAACCUGGGAACUGCAUUGGAAACUGGCGAGCUUGAGUAUGGCAGAGGGGGGUGGAAUUCCGCGUGUAGCAGUGAAAUGCGUAGAGAUGCGGAGGAACACCGAUGGCGAAGGCAGCCCCCUGGGCUGACACUGACGCUCAGGCACGAAAGCGUGGGGAGCAAACAGG
RNAcentral lists this ribosomal RNA (253 nucleotides) under uncultured bacterium. RNAcentral's name for it is "partial 16S ribosomal RNA". It matches the Rfam family "Bacterial small subunit ribosomal RNA", at positions 524 to 776 of the family's 1533-position model. The record is from RNAcentral.